GUCGAGAAUCUUCCGCAAUGCGCGAAAGCGUGACGGAGCGACACCGCGUGAUGGAUGAAGUCCUUCGGGGCGUAAACAUCUUUUAUAAAGGAGGAAAUUUUUGACGUUACUUUAUGAAUAAGGGGCUCCCAAUCUCGUGCCAGCAGGAGCGGUAAUACGAGAGCCUCAAGCGUUAUCCGGAAUCAUUGGGCGUAAAGGGUGCGUAGGUGGUUUGAUUAGUAUCCCGUUAAAACUUCGAGCUUAACUCGAAAAGAGCGGGGGAAACGGUCAAACUAGAGUAUGUGAGAGGUGUGUGGAACUCAUGGUGUAGGGGUGAAAUCCGUUGAUAUCAUGGGGAACACCAAAAGCGAAGGCAGCACACUGGCACAUCACUGACACUGAGGCACGAAACCUAAGGUAGCGAAUGGGAUUAGAAACCCGAGUAGUCC
RNAcentral lists this ribosomal RNA (428 nucleotides) under uncultured bacterium. RNAcentral describes it as "partial 16S ribosomal RNA". It matches the Rfam family "Bacterial small subunit ribosomal RNA", at positions 354 to 796 of the family's 1533-position model. The record is from RNAcentral.